Molecule: ribosomal RNA, 401 nt
Filed under: uncultured bacterium
Lineage: Bacteria
Description: bacterial SSU rRNA
Rfam family: Bacterial small subunit ribosomal RNA
Source: RNAcentral
UGGGGAAUCUUGCACAAUGGGGGCAACCCUGAUGCAGCGACGCCGCGUGAGUGAUGAAGCCCCUCGGGGUGUAAAGCUCUUUCGGCAGGGACGAUAAUGACGGUACCUGAAGAAGAAGCUGCGGCUAACUACGUGCCAGCAGCCGCGGUAAUACGUAGGCAGCAAGCGUUGUUCGGAGUUACUGGGCGUAAAGAGCGUGUAGGCGGUUGUUUAAGUUUGGUGUGAAAUCUCCCGGCUUAACUGGGAGGGUGCGCCGAAAACUGGACGGCUCGAGGAUGGGAGAGGCAUGCGGAAUUCCUGGUGUAGCGGUGAAAUGCGUAGAUAUCAGGAGGAACACCUGCGGUGUAGACAGCAUGCUGGACCAUUUCUGACGCUGAGACACGAAAGCGUGGGUAGCAAAC